UAAAAAAAUAAAUCUUACACACACAUACAUACAUUCGCGCAGCUGCCCACAGUGACAUCGGCCAUCACGCAUGCCGGCACCACCGCCCAAUCGGCGCAACGAGAUGGUAUCGUCAACGAUGCGAACGCGGACGCGCACACACAAUGCAACGAAGUAAAUCCGACAAUUUACGAAGAGCUCAAACUUGGCCAAGAAGACGCUUUACGAGUUAAAGUACAGUGGGCCUACGAAUUUUAAUUACCAGCGUCAAUGGCCAUUAGUCUUGCGUGCUUCGGCAGUGGGCAACAGCAGCGCGUAGUCAAGAAAAAGGCGACAACAAUAAGCAAGCGAAACGAAGCGAGCUGAGGAGCAAUUAAAAACCUAGUGAAAGUUUAGAAUUUGUUCGAAAAAGAAAGUGGACGAAGGUGGUUCGGUUAUUGGUAGACAAGCUGCAUAAAUUUUUUUGAGGCAAUAGUUAGGCCUAUGAACAACAGCAACAACAACAAUGGCGACAAGCAAGGCGGCGUAAGAAUGUAAAGGGAAGCGCGACGCAGCUAAUCACCUAGCAAUGAUUGAAUGCUUGGCAGCUGCCAUUUGAGCGUGCAAAAAAGCGUUGCAUUUUAGUUUUUGCAUAUUAGGGUACUCUAAAAAUUGUUUGAAACACGCAAGUUAGCGUGAUAAUUAAUGCUGCCAGAUCAUAUUGUUUUGAGUAAUUGGUGGAACUUACACAUAUUAUAUGGAAAAUUAGUGGUCGUUUCACCAUUUUCUGCAACUACAACUUACUUGUA
Molecule: long non-coding RNA, 767 nt
Organism: Bactrocera neohumeralis
Lineage: Eukaryota; Metazoa; Arthropoda; Insecta; Diptera; Tephritidae
Exons: 3
Source: RefSeq, a predicted model, not a curated record